This 792-nucleotide ribosomal RNA is filed under the name Staphylococcus pseudintermedius. RNAcentral's name for it is "partial 23S ribosomal RNA". It matches the Rfam family "Bacterial large subunit ribosomal RNA", at positions 407 to 1201 of the family's 2925-position model. Lineage: Bacteria; Bacillati; Bacillota; Bacilli; Caryophanales; Staphylococcaceae. The record is from RNAcentral.
CCUGAGUACGACGGAGCACGUGAAAUUCCGUCGGAAUCUGGGAGGACCAUCUCCUAAGGCUAAAUACUCUCUAGUGACCGAUAGUGAACCAGUACCGUGAGGGAAAGGUGAAAAGUACCCCGGAAGGGGAGUGAAAGAGAACUUGAAACCGUGUGCUUACAAGUAGUCAGAGCCCGUUAAUGGGUGAUGGCGUGCCUUUUGUAGAAUGAACCGGCGAGUUACGAUCUGAUGCAAGGUUAAGCAGAAAAUGUGGAGCCGUAGCGAAAGCGAGUCUGAAUAGGGCGAAUGAGUAUUUGGUCGUAGACCCGAAACCAGGUGAUCUACCCUUGGUCAGGUUGAAGUUCAGGUAACACUGAAUGGAGGACCGAACCGACUUACGUUGAAAAGUGAGCGGAUGAACUGAGGGUAGCGGAGAAAUUCCAAUCGAACUUGGAGAUAGCUGGUUCUCUCCGAAAUAGCUUUAGGGCUAGCCUCAAGUGAUGAUUAUUGGAGGUAGAGCACUGUUUGGACGAGGGGCCCCUCUCGGGUUACCGAAUUCAGACAAACUCCGAAUGCCAAAUAAUUUAACUUGGGAGUCAGAAUGUGGGUGAUAAGGUCCAUAUUCGAAAGGGAAACAGCCCAGACCACCAGCUAAGGUCCCAAAAUAUAUGUUAAGUGGAAAAGGAUGUGGCGUUGCCCAGACAACUAGGAUGUUGGCUUAGAAGCAGCCAUCAUUUAAAGAGUGCGUAAUAGCUCACUAGUCGAGUGACACUGCGCCGAAAAUGUACCGGGGCUAAACAUAUUACCGAAGCU